AAGUCAUUAAUAAAAUCCCUAAAAUUUCUAAGCUUUUAAUCGAUUGGCUCGUCGCGUCUUCCACAAAAUCGGUCGUCACACAGCCCAGUGCUUCAUCGCUGGUUCGUGUCUGCAGCUUCUUAUCUUCCUGGCUUCUGGAUUUGCGUUGCAAUUCCCAAGUUGCAGAAUGACAAAGUGCAGUAGGCUUAUCUUCUUCUACUUUCGAACUGCUUCUGUUGCAUUGUGGUUCGUUCUUCAGAGAGUCUAGAAGUUGCGUGAAGAUUGUGAAUCUGGAGCUGAAUAGCGAAUUGAAACGGAAUGGAUUUCGUGCGUUCUCGUAGAGCCAAAAGUGAAGCAGAUUGAAGAAUGCAGAGAACUUGAGGAUUGAAGAUUGAAGCGAAUUUGAGGAUUGAAAAUUGAAGAGAAUUUGAGGAUUGAGGAUUGAAGUUUUUGCAGAUUUUUUCUCCCCCUUUCUGAACUGCAAUGAGGUUGUAUGUUAACUUGCAACAUUCAUUCUGUUGCGAUAAUUAUGCAGGAUGCACUUCCUUGGUCUUGAACUGAAUUGAAGUGGAUUUGCUUGUGAUCUUGUGCAAGGCUUGAAUCGUGUUGGACAUGUUGGUCAUGUUGAGUUGGAGGCAAAGCUAUGAAAGGUAGAUUGGAUUGCUAUGGAAUUUAGUCAUGUUGUAGUUUGGUUGAUUGAAUGUAUUAGAAUGUAUGUAUGUGGUUGUAAUUGGAUGUACUUGAGAUAAUUUGAAUUGAAAUUGUGUUGAUGAUGAUGGGAAUGUAAAUUGUAUUAAAUGAAUAUAUGAAAUAUGUAUGGAAUUUGUAUAAACAUGGUUGUAAUGGUUGAAUAUGUACUUGGAAUUGAAUGAUGGUCUAAUGUAAAAGUUUGGAAGUUGGCUAAAAAAAUGGUUGUAAUGUAAUAUGAUUCAAUGUAUGUAUGGUUAUUGAUGGUUAAAUGUAUGAAAUUGAAUGUUAGAAUA
Molecule: long non-coding RNA, 962 nt
Organism: Lathyrus oleraceus (garden pea)
Lineage: Eukaryota; Viridiplantae; Streptophyta; Magnoliopsida; Fabales; Fabaceae
Exons: 3
Source: RefSeq, a predicted model, not a curated record